CGGGGGGGGUGCUAUAAUGCAGUCGACGCACAGCGAAAGGUGCUUGCACCUUUCAAGUGAGUGGCGAACGGGUGAGUAACACGUGGACAACCUGCCUCAAGGCUGGGGAUAACAUUUGGAAACAGAUGCUAAUACCGAAUGAAACUUAGUGUCGCAUGAUACGAAGUUAAAAGGCGCUUUGGCGUCACCUAGAGAUGGAUCCGCGGUGCAUUAGUUAGUUGGUGGGGUAAAGGCCUACCAAGACAAUGAUGCAUAGCCGAGUUGAGAGACUGAUCGGCCACAUUGGGACUGAGACACGGCCCAAACUCCUACGGGAGGCUGCAGUAGGGAAUCUUCCACAAUGGGCGAAAGCUUGAUGGAGCAACGCCGCGUGUGUGAUGAAGGCUUUCGGGUCGUAAAGCACUGUUGUAUGGGAAGAACAGCUAGAAUAGGGAAUGAUUUUAGUUUGACGGUACCAUACCAGAAAGGGACGGCUAAAUACGUGCCAGCAGCCGCGGUAAUACGUAUGUCCCGAGCGUUAUCCGGAUUUAUUGGGCGUAAAGCGAGCGCAGACGGUUGAUUAAGUCUGAUGUGAAAGCCCGGAGCUCAACUCCGGAAUGGCAUUGGAAACUGGUUAACUUGAGUGCAGUAGAGGUAAGUGGAACUCCAUGUGUAGCGGUGGAAUGCGUAGAUAUAUGGAAGAACACCAGUGGCGAAGGCGGCUUACUGGACUGUAACUGACGUUGAGGCUCGAAAGUGUGGGUAGCAAACAGGAUUAGAUACCCUGGUAGUCCACACCGUAAACGAUGAACACUAGGUGUUAGGAGGUUUCCGCCUCUUAGUGCCGAAGCUAACGCAUUAAGUGUUCCGCCUGGGGAGUACGACCGCAAGGUUGAAACUCAAAGGAAUUGACGGGGACCCGCACAAGCGGUGGAGCAUGUGGUUUAAUUCGAAGCAACGCGAAGAACCUUACCAGGUCUUGACAUCCUUUGAAGCUUUUAGAGAUAGAAGUGUUCUCUUCG
Molecule: ribosomal RNA, 1001 nt
Filed under: Leuconostoc pseudomesenteroides
Lineage: Bacteria; Bacillati; Bacillota; Bacilli; Lactobacillales; Lactobacillaceae
Description: bacterial SSU rRNA
Rfam family: Bacterial small subunit ribosomal RNA
Source: RNAcentral